UCUCAGUGCCAUUCAGCCCCCAUCUCCAGGGACUGUGGCAGAGAGAUAGUUUCCCAAAGACAUGGAAGAAACCCAACUUUCUCUAAGGCAACUCACCAAGAGAGACUGAGGCCCCUGCAUAGCGGGGAUUCUCCUGCCCGUGAUGUGAUGACCACCUGUGGCCCACUCCAAGACAAGACUCCAAACUGACACUCUGGAAUGGCCAUCUGUCAGGACCCUGGUCUGGAAUUAGCUCUGGACUGACAGUUCUGCUCCCUGAACAAGUUCCUCACUGGUUCGGGAAUUCUGUCUGACCAUCUGCAGUGACUCUGCCUCUCUCUGCUCUCUAAUUCCCGUGUUCUCAUUUCAACCUCCUCAGCCUCAGAGGCUGCCCUAGCACUUUCUUAGGCUUUCUACAGUGUGUAUUGGUGUAAAGAGUGAUGUGUGUCCUAAGUUAGUAGAAGCUAUGAUUGGAAUGAAAGAACCUGUGAUUGCCUGACUUAUGACGAUCAGGUGACCCACGAGUAUUCACUGAACAUCAACUGCUGAAAGUGUUGUAGCCUGUGAAUUUAUCAUCAUUCAAUAAAUCCUGACUUUGUGGAAAGAUA
Long non-coding RNA from Sciurus carolinensis (gray squirrel), 587 nucleotides. RefSeq lists it as uncharacterized. Lineage: Eukaryota; Metazoa; Chordata; Mammalia; Rodentia; Sciuridae. The transcript is spliced from 3 exons. The record is from RefSeq and is a predicted model, not a curated record.